CAUACAUCCAUUCAUUUCCAUCUCCAGAUUUACCCAAAAUUAUUCUACUCCUAUCCAGGAGAGAAUAGCCAAAAACAUUAUCCUAUCCCUGUUAUUCCCCGUGAAAUAAAUGCUCGAGAUAUUUUGGUUACUACCACUUGCUACAUUAUUCCAGGAGGGUGAGUGCUCUGAAAAAAGUGAAUACGAGGAAAGAAAAAGGGGCAAGUGCCCGGAACCUCAAAGAAAAGAAAAAGUGAGACGAGAGGUAAAAAUGGACAAGUGUCCGACAGUAGAAUUAGGGUUACAAGAUACCCACCUGAGAGAAAAGAAAAAGAAAAUAUAGAGCAUCUCAUUCCUCUCAAAAACCUUCAAAGUGCAAGAAAGGUAUGUAUCCCUUCAAAAGAGCAAAAGUAGAAUUAGACUUUCACCAUUAUUUUCACCAUUAUCACCAUCAUCACCAUACACCAUUCAUCCGCCACACAUGCACAUCUUGAUUUGACUUAUUGACUUGUUUCUCUGGAUCCAUGGUUUGACUAUGCAAUAAAUGUCUUGUAAGUAUGUAUUAGCUGUCUCCCACCUAUGAGCUCCAGAUAUCAAAACCUUGUUAGAGUAG
Molecule: long non-coding RNA, 592 nt
Filed under: Sorghum bicolor (sorghum)
Lineage: Eukaryota; Viridiplantae; Streptophyta; Magnoliopsida; Poales; Poaceae
Description: long non-coding RNA (SBIC_LNC006421)
Source: RNAcentral